UACGGAGGAUGCAAGCGUUAUCCGGAUUUAUUGGGUUUAAAGGGUGCGCAGGUUGUUUGAUAAGUCAGUGGUGAAAGUCUGUCGCUUAACGGUAGGAUUGCCAUUGAUACUGUUGGACUUGAAUAUGGAUGAGGUAGGCGGAAUGUGUAGUGUAGCGGUGAAAUGCAUAGAUAUUACACAGAACACCGAUUGCGAAGGCAGCUUACUAAUCCAUCAUUGACACUGAGGCACGAAAGCGUGGGGAGUCAAACA
Molecule: ribosomal RNA, 252 nt
Filed under: uncultured prokaryote
Description: partial 16S ribosomal RNA
Rfam family: Bacterial small subunit ribosomal RNA
Source: RNAcentral